UACGUAGGGUGCAAGCGUUGUCCGGAAUUAUUGGGCGUAAAGAGCGUGUAGGCGGCCAUUCAGGUCAGCUGUGAAAACUCGAGGCUCAACCUCGAGACGUCGGUUGAAACCGUUUGGCUAGAGUCCGGAAGAGGAGAGUGGUAUUCCCGGUGUAGCGGUGAAAUGCGCAGAUAUCGGGAAGAACACCCGUGGCGAAGGCGGCUCUCUGGGACGGUACUGACGCUGAGACGCGAAAGCGUGGGGAGCGAACAGG
This 253-nucleotide ribosomal RNA is filed under the name uncultured bacterium. Its description in RNAcentral is "partial 16S ribosomal RNA". It matches the Rfam family "Bacterial small subunit ribosomal RNA", at positions 524 to 776 of the family's 1533-position model. The record is from RNAcentral.